AAAGGGUCCUGGCAGCAGCUGGAAGUCUUCCUACCUGCUCAUUCUUUCCCCAGAGAAGCCUGAGUUUCAGUGAGGAUGGAAUCGCUCGAGACAGCAAGUAACUUGAGCCUCCAACAAGCUGAACUCCGACUCUGGCACGUCAUACUGAUCGAAGUGAUUGCCCUCCUUCUUCAGGCGGUUCUCCUCUUAAUCCUGUACAUUUUACUCCGUAGGCAAAUAGCCAACUACUAUUGCCAAACGGUGAAAGCUGUAAGUGUCCAGGCCCAGACCCAGGCACCAAAGAAGCCAGAAGGCAAUCAUGAUCUAUCUGCUUUGAAAAAGACAGGGUCUAAGAGGAAUGUUCCAGGUCCUGCCCUGUCUUAUAAGGAUGAUAGUGGCAGUGACAGUGAUUCCUCCUCACAUAGCUCUGACAGUUCAGAAAGAUAUCCUCCAGCUUCCAACAGAAAGGCACUCAAUGAUAUGAAUUACAGCACCCUGGUCUUUCCAGCCUCUGUUUCCCGAAUGACUUUGUCUCUUGAUGACUAUGAGAACAUAAAGGCAGCUGGUGAUUAUGUCAAUGUGGACCCCAAGAAUCGUAUGAAUAAUGCCUGGAAUUUCAGUAACUCCUUCUCUUCUGAGC
RNAcentral lists this long non-coding RNA (619 nucleotides) under Vombatus ursinus (common wombat). RNAcentral's name for it is "lncRNA (ENSVURG00010012613.1)". Lineage: Eukaryota; Metazoa; Chordata; Mammalia; Diprotodontia; Vombatidae. The record is from RNAcentral.